Molecule: long non-coding RNA, 1101 nt
Organism: Monodelphis domestica (gray short-tailed opossum)
Lineage: Eukaryota; Metazoa; Chordata; Mammalia; Didelphimorphia; Didelphidae
Source: RefSeq, a predicted model, not a curated record
GUUCUCUUUUAGGGUAACUGAUUUUUCAAACCUGUAUUACAGACUGCUUAGGGCAUGACUACAUCUCUCACCACAUGGCUUGGUCAAGCAGGUGUACCAGGACACGCAGGAGGCAAUUGGAAGCCACAAAGCACAGCUUCUCCCUAUAACACAUGUUCUUAACUUGCUGCUUCUCUUAGAAAGCUGAGAGAAUCUAGUGGUCCCAGCAUCUUCUAAACAAUCAGCUCCUGGAAAGCCCAAGAAGCAACCAAGAUGCUCCCAGAAAUCCAGUCAAGUGAAAAGAUCAUUUCUGCUUCAAUCCUCAAUUCAGAUGAUAAUCCCAGGGAGACAGCAUAAAUACUGAAGCACUUCAAGGAAAAAGAACCAUGCCUAGCCUGCUUGCCUUCUCCAUCUGCUUCCUGGAUUUCCUGGCUGUCCUUAAGAAUCAGCUCAAAUCCUACCUUGUGCAGGAGACCAUCCCUAUCUUGCUCAUGUGCCUUGUCUCAGAGAUCACUUCCUAUUUACACUGCAUUCAUCUUGCGGGUUUGGAGUUAUUUGCAUGCUAUUAUUUCUUAUUAAAAGAUGAGUACUUUGAGAGCAAGAACCAUGUUUUUGUAUUCUCAGUAUUUAGCACAGUGCCUGGCAUACAAUAAAUACUUAACUAAAUGCUUGCUAAUUGAUUGAUAACCUAGCUGAGAGGCAAAUGAUGAUAUUAUACUGGAUGAUCUCUAAGGUUCCUGACAGCUUUAAAUCUUAAGAUCGGUUAUAAUUAUGACAAAAUUAGUGUCUAGGUUGGCAGGGGAGUUAAACUAUUUUCACCAUUAUUAGGCGAUGAGAGGUAAUGAGGAACUCUGGCAUCAAUUCUAGUUAGCUCUGACUUUCCAUCUCAGUUGGGAGAUUAAAGAUUUGUAUGGAGAAGCACAAAAAAUAAUAAUUUCUACAGUUUUUCCUAUUGGGUUAGGUGCCAGAUGGCCCAGAUUUUGCUAUAAAUUUUCUUAUUUUAAAAAACUAAACAGGCCAUGCUAAGCAAUAAACACUGAAAAAUUAUAAACAGUUUUAAAAAAGGCUUACUGGAAUUGCUAUAAAUGAAUGAUUUUCAGUGAACACAUGGUACAUACAUGA